RNAcentral lists this ribosomal RNA (123 nucleotides) under Carlito syrichta (Philippine tarsier). The record is from RNAcentral. Lineage: Eukaryota; Metazoa; Chordata; Mammalia; Primates; Tarsiidae.
GUCUAUGGCCAUACCACCCUAAGCGUGCCUGAUCUAUCUCAUUUGAUCCUGGAAGCUAAGCAGGGUCGGGCCUGGUUAGUACUUGAAUGGGAGAAAUGCAGAACACCAGGCCGCACGCAGACC